ACUCAAAGGAAUUGACGGGGACCCGCACAAGCGGUGGAGCAUGUGGUUUAAUUCGACGCAACGCGAAGAACCUUACCUGGGCUAGAAUGUGAGGGAAGACCGCGCAAAACGUGGUCGUCUCGGGUAAAACCGAGACCCAAAACAAGGUGCUGCACGGCUGUCGUCAGCUCGUGUCGUGAGAUGUUGGGUUAAGUCCCGCAACGAGCGCAACCCCUACUGCUAGUUGCUAACAGGUAAAGCUGAGCACUCUAGUAGAACCGCUGAUGAUAAAUUGGAGGAAGGUGGGGAUGACGUCAAGUCAUCAUGGCCUUUAUGCCCAGGGCUACACACGUGCUACAAUGGUUGGUACAAAGAGAAGCGAGACCGCGAGGUGGAGCCAAUCUCAAAAAGCCAACCUCAGUUCGGAUUGUAGUCUGCAACUCGACUACAUGAAGUUGGAAUCGCUAGUAAUCGCGGAUCAGCACGCCGCGGUGAAUACGUUCCCGGGUCUUGUACACACCGCCCGU
This 506-nucleotide ribosomal RNA is filed under the name uncultured bacterium. Its description in RNAcentral is "partial 16S ribosomal RNA". It matches the Rfam family "Bacterial small subunit ribosomal RNA", at positions 899 to 1397 of the family's 1533-position model. The record is from RNAcentral.